RNAcentral lists this ribosomal RNA (401 nucleotides) under uncultured bacterium. Its description in RNAcentral is "bacterial SSU rRNA". It matches the Rfam family "Bacterial small subunit ribosomal RNA", at positions 29 to 432 of the family's 1533-position model. The record is from RNAcentral.
AUUGAACGCUGGCGGCAUGCCUUACACAUGCAAGUCGAACGGCAGCACGGGAGCAAUCCUGGUGGCGAGUGGCGAACGGGUGAGUAAUAUAUCGGAACGUGCCCAGUAGUGGGGGAUAGCCCGGCGAAAGCCGGAUUAAUACCGCAUACGACCUGAGGGUGAAAGCGGGGGAUCGCAAGACCUCGCGCUAUUGGAGCGGCCGAUAUCAGAUUAGCUAGUUGGUGGGGUAAAGGCCUACCAAGGCUACGAUCUGUAGUUGGUCUGAGAGGACGACCAGCCACACUGGGACUGAGACACGGCCCAGACUCCUACGGGAGGCAGCAGUGGGGAAUUUUGGACAAUGGGCGCAAGCCUGAUCCAGCAUUGCCGCGUGCAGGAAGAAGGCCUCGGUUGUAACGUAG